Molecule: ribosomal RNA, 497 nt
Filed under: uncultured bacterium
Lineage: Bacteria
Description: partial 16S ribosomal RNA
Rfam family: Bacterial small subunit ribosomal RNA
Source: RNAcentral
GAUGAACGCUGGCGGCGUGCCUAAUACAUGCAAGUCGAGCGAACGGACGAGAAGCUUGCUUCUCUGAUGUUAGCGGCGGACGGGUGAGUAACACGUGGAUAACCUACCUAUAAGACUGGGAUAACUUCGGGAAACCGUAGCUAAUACCGGAUAAUAUUUUGAACCGCAUGGUUCAAAAGUGAAAGACGGUCUUGCUGUCACUUAUAGAUGGAUCCGCGCUGCAUUAGCUAGUUGGUAAGGUAACGGCUUACCAAGGCAACGAUGCAUAGCCGACCUGAGAGGGUGAUCGGCCACACUGGAACUGAGACACGGUCCAGACUCCUACGGGAGGCAGCAGUAGGGAAUCUUCCGCAAUGGGCGAAAGCCUGACGGAGCAACGCCGCGUGAGUGAUGAAGGUCUUCGGAUCGUAAAACUCUGUUAUUAGGGAAGAACAUAUGUGUAAGUAACUGUGCACAUCUUGACGGUACCUAAUCAGAAAGCCGCGGCUAACUACGUG